RNAcentral lists this transfer-messenger RNA (354 nucleotides) under Pseudomonadales. RNAcentral describes it as "ASP10-02a sp002686055 Standard tmRNA". It matches the Rfam family "transfer-messenger RNA". Rfam says of the family: Bacterial tmRNA, also known as 10Sa RNA or SsrA, is named for its dual tRNA and mRNA-like properties. Its role is to liberate the mRNA from a stalled ribosome. The record is from RNAcentral. RNAcentral also lists the same sequence under 2 other names. Lineage: Bacteria; Pseudomonadati; Pseudomonadota; Gammaproteobacteria.
GGGGAUGACUGGAUUCGACGCCGGUUACAAACCCUGCGGUGCAUGUCGAGAGCGCUUGGUAUCUCGUAAAUAAAACCUUGCAAUAUAUAGUCGCAAACGACGAAAACUACGCACUAGCGGCCUAAAUCCCGCUUACACUGAGCACCAGAUGCCUGUAAAUGGUUGCAAAGUGGCACGCAGAACAGGAUCGUGUGGCACCCUCUCUCGGGGGUAAAGCAUUAAAACUUAAUCGAGAUCGCCCUAGGCACCCUGACUUUCGGGUCGCUGCGGGUUAAAUUAAUAGAAAGAGCUAAACAUGUAGAGCCAAUGGCAGAGGACUGACGGACGGGGGUUCGACUCCCCCCAUCUCCACCA